Molecule: ribosomal RNA, 399 nt
Filed under: Lepidactylus triarticulatus
Lineage: Eukaryota; Metazoa; Arthropoda; Malacostraca; Amphipoda; Haustoriidae
Description: partial 16S ribosomal RNA
Rfam family: Bacterial large subunit ribosomal RNA
Source: RNAcentral
UGCUAAGGUAGCAUAAUCAAUUGUUGAUUAAUUGUCAACUGGAAUGAAGGGUUAAAUUAUUUAGGAGGUUUGUUAGAGUAUAUAAGAUUGGAUUUUAAGUUAAAAUACUUAGAUUUUUAGAGGGACGAUAAGACCCCAGAAGCUUUAUUUAAAAUAUUGUAUAAUUGACUGGGGUAGUAUGUUUAUAGAAAUUGUAUUUAUGUGGGUAAAGAUUCUUUAUAUAAAGAUAGAAAGAAAGAGUUACUUUGGGGGUAACAGCAUAAUUUUUUCGGGGAGACCAUAUUUAUGAAGAAGAUUAUGACCUCGAUGUUGAAUUAAGAGAUCUUCUAUGGGCAGUAAAAUAGAUAGAGAGUUUGUUCAACUUUUGAAAUCUUACAUGAUCUGAGUUCAAACCGGAGA